This 284-nucleotide long non-coding RNA is filed under the name Elaeis guineensis (African oil palm). Its description in RNAcentral is "long non-coding RNA (EGUI_LNC077402)". Lineage: Eukaryota; Viridiplantae; Streptophyta; Magnoliopsida; Arecales; Arecaceae. The record is from RNAcentral.
GCCCUUUCAGUGGCUUUGGAGGUGAAGAUUGACACUUCCACGGGGAGAACCUCGAGGCCGAUGGAAGCUGGACCUGCUUCAUUUGGACCUUCUUUGGUCGGGCGUGAAAGAACAGCAUGGCGGCUCACUUCGAUCGGGCCCACCUCUAUCGGGUGCAUAGGAGAAGUAGGCGGCCUGCUUCAAUCGGGCCUCCGUCAGACAGGCCCGUGCAUGUAGGUGGAGCACAACAUCAUCCAUGGGGGUAGGAUCGACGGUGAUAGAUUCGUAAGAGUAGGGUCGGCUGU